CAAAGCUUGCUGAGCAAAUGAGUUAUAAUGAAGAUUGAAGAGCACUACAGUUGUUUGAAAAUAGUGUUUAGUGUGUCCCCACCGUGUUAGUAAUGCGUUUACUUUACUGUAAAAUAUACCGGCGAAUUUUCGAAGAGUCACAAACUA
Xenia sp. Carnegie-2017 is the source of this 147-nucleotide long non-coding RNA. RefSeq lists it as uncharacterized. The transcript is spliced from 2 exons. The record is from RefSeq and is a predicted model, not a curated record. Lineage: Eukaryota; Metazoa; Cnidaria; Anthozoa; Malacalcyonacea; Xeniidae.